RNAcentral lists this ribosomal RNA (468 nucleotides) under uncultured bacterium. RNAcentral describes it as "partial 16S ribosomal RNA". It matches the Rfam family "Bacterial small subunit ribosomal RNA", at positions 28 to 507 of the family's 1533-position model. The record is from RNAcentral.
GACGAACGCUGGCGGCGUGCUUAACACAUGCAAGUCGAACGGAAAGGCCCUGCUCUUGUGGGGUGCUCGAGUGGCGAACGGGGGAGUAACACGUGAGUAACCUGCCCUUGACUUUGGGAUAACUCCAGGAAACUGGGGCUAAUACCGGAUAGGAGCUCCUGCUGCACGGGGGGGGUUGGUAAGUUUCGGCGGUUGGGGAUGGACUCGCGGCUUAUCGGCUUGUUGGGGGGGUAGUGGCUUACCAAGGCUUUGACGGGUAGCCGGCCUGGGAGGGUGACCGGCCACAUUGGGACUGAGAUACGGCCCAGACUCCUACGGGAGGCAGCAGUGGGGAAUCUUGCACAAUGGGCGGAAGCCUGAUGCAGCAACGCCGCGUGCGGGAUGACGGCCUUCGGGUUGUAAACCGCUUUCGCCUGUGGCGAAGCGUGAGUGACGGUAAUGGGUAAAGAAGCACCGGCUAACUACGUG